RNAcentral lists this ribosomal RNA (494 nucleotides) under uncultured bacterium. Its description in RNAcentral is "partial 16S ribosomal RNA". It matches the Rfam family "Bacterial small subunit ribosomal RNA", at positions 28 to 507 of the family's 1533-position model. The record is from RNAcentral.
GACGAACGCUGGCGGCGUGCUUAACACAUGCAAGUCGAACGGAAAGGCCUGCUUUCCCUUGUGGAUUGCGGGUACUCGAGUGGCGAACGGGUGAGUAACACGUGAGUGAUCUGCCCCCAACUUGGGUAUAAGCCUGGGAAACUGGGUCUAAUUCCCGAUAGGACUGCAGGGUGGUGCCUGUGGUGGAAAACGAUUUUCUAGUGGUUGGGGAUGAGCUCGCGGCCUAUCAGCUUGUUGGUGGGGUAAUGGCCUACCAAGGCGGCGACGGGUAGCCGGCCUGGGAGGGUGGACGGCCACAUUGGGACUGAGAUACGGCCCAGACUCCUACGGGAGGCAGCAUUGGGGAAUAUUGCACAAUGGGCGGAAGCCUGAUGCAGCGACGCCGCGUGGGGGAUGACGGCCUUCGGGUUGUAAACUCCUUUCGACCGCGAGGAAGCCACCUGGUUGGAAGGGUGGUGACGGUAGUGGUAGAAGAAGCACCGGCUAACUACGUG